AACGAACGCUGGCGGCAUGCCUAACACAUGCAAGUCGAACGAGAUCUUCGGGUCUAGUGGCGCACGGGUGCGUAACGCGUGGGAAUCUGCCCUUUGGUUCGGAAUAACAGUUGGAAACGACUGCUAAUACCGGAUGAUGACGAAAGUCCAAAGAUUUAUCGCCAGAGGAUGAGCCCGCGUAGGAUUAGCUAGUUGGUGUGGUAAAGGCGCACCAAGGCGACGAUCCUUAGCUGGUCUGAGAGGAUGAUCAGCCACACUGGGACUGAGACACGGACCAGACUCCUACGGGAGGCAGCAGUGGGGAAUAUGGGACAAUGGUCGAAAGCCUGAUCCAGCAAUGCCGCGUGAGUGAUGAAGGCCUUAGGGUUGUAAAGCUCUUUUACCCGGGAUGAUAAUGACAGUACCGGGAGAAUAAGCUCCGGCUAACUCCGUGCCAGCCGCCGCAGUAA
Molecule: ribosomal RNA, 449 nt
Filed under: uncultured bacterium
Lineage: Bacteria
Description: partial 16S ribosomal RNA
Rfam family: Bacterial small subunit ribosomal RNA
Source: RNAcentral